AUCUAGCCCCGAUAGCAGCGGUUACCCCGGAACAGGAAGGAAACAGUUGGGGCGUGAGGAGUAUGAGCGUAUAGCGGGAAUGAGC
RNAcentral lists this unclassified non-coding RNA (85 nucleotides) under Chryseobacterium jejuense. Its description in RNAcentral is "Flavo-1 RNA". Lineage: Bacteria; Pseudomonadati; Bacteroidota; Flavobacteriia; Flavobacteriales; Weeksellaceae. The record is from RNAcentral.